UACGUAGGGGGCUAGCGUUGUCCGGAUUUAUUGGGCGUAAAGAGCGUGUAGGCGGCCAGGUAGGUCUGGUGCGAAAACUCGAGGCUUAACCUCGAGAUGUCAUCGGAAACCAUCUGGCUAGAGUCCGGAAGAGGAGAGUGGAAUUCCUGGUGUAGCGGUGAAAUGCGCAGAUAUCAGGAAGAACACCAAUGGCGAAAGCAGCUCUCUGGGACGGUACUGACGCUGAGACGCGAAAGCGUGGGGAGCGAACAGG
RNAcentral lists this ribosomal RNA (253 nucleotides) under uncultured bacterium. RNAcentral's name for it is "partial 16S ribosomal RNA". It matches the Rfam family "Bacterial small subunit ribosomal RNA", at positions 524 to 776 of the family's 1533-position model. The record is from RNAcentral.